This is a non-coding RNA of Perkinsus marinus ATCC 50983, 73 nucleotides long. Lineage: Eukaryota; Perkinsozoa; Perkinsida; Perkinsidae. The record is from Rfam.
GCCUCGGUAGCUCAGUCGGCAGAGCGCGUGCCUUUUAAGCCCGUGGCCGCGGGUUCGAGGCCCGUCCGAUGUG